UACGUAGGGGGCAAGCGUUGUCCGGAAUUAUUGGGCGUAAAGAGCGUGUAGGCGGUUAAGUAAGUCUGCUGUGAAAGUCCAGGGCUCAACCCUGGGAUGCCGGUGGAUACUGCUGGGCUAGAGUACGGAAGAGGCGAGUGGAAUUCCCGGUGUAGCGGUGAAAUGCGCAGAUAUCGGGAGGAACACCAAUUGCGAAGGCAGCUCGCUGGGACGUCACUGACGCUGAGACGCGAAAGCGUGGGGAGCAAACAGG
This 253-nucleotide ribosomal RNA is filed under the name uncultured bacterium. Its description in RNAcentral is "partial 16S ribosomal RNA". It matches the Rfam family "Bacterial small subunit ribosomal RNA", at positions 524 to 776 of the family's 1533-position model. The record is from RNAcentral.